UACGAGAGGCCCAAACGUUAUUCGGAAUUACUGGGCUUAAAGAGUUCGUAGGCGGCGCAGAAAGUAGGGUGUGAAAGCCCUCGGCUCAACCGAGGAAUUGCGCUCUAAACUACUGUGCUUGAGGAAGCUAGAGGUGAGCAGAACAGAUGGUGGAGCGGUGAAAUGCGUAGAUAUCGCUUGGAACGCCGACGGUGAAAACAGGUUGCUGGGAAUGUGCCGACGCUGAGACACGAAAGCCAGGGGAGCAAACGGG
RNAcentral lists this ribosomal RNA (253 nucleotides) under uncultured bacterium. RNAcentral's name for it is "partial 16S ribosomal RNA". It matches the Rfam family "Bacterial small subunit ribosomal RNA", at positions 524 to 776 of the family's 1533-position model. The record is from RNAcentral.